UGAGGAAUCUUCCACAAUGGGCGAAAGCCUGAUGGAGCGACGCCGCGUGAGGGAUGAAGGCCUUAGGGUUGUAAACCUCUAAAAGAGGGACGAUAAUGACGGUACCUCUUGAAUAGCACCGGCUAACUCCGUGCCAGCAGCCGCGGUAAUACGGAGGGUGCAAGCGUUAUCCGGAAUCACUGGGCGUAAAGGGCGCGUAGGCGGUCUGUUAAGUCCGAUGUUAAAUCCCGGGGCUCAACCCCGGAUAAGCGUUGGAUACUGGCAGGCUAGACUGUUGGAGAGGCGAGUGGAAUUACCAGCGUAGCGGUGGAAUGCGUAGAUACUGGUAGGCACACCCAUUGCGAAGGCAGCUCGCUGGACAACACGUGACGCUGAGGCGCGAAAGUGUGGGGAGCAAACC
This 400-nucleotide ribosomal RNA is filed under the name uncultured bacterium. RNAcentral describes it as "bacterial SSU rRNA". It matches the Rfam family "Bacterial small subunit ribosomal RNA", at positions 355 to 774 of the family's 1533-position model. The record is from RNAcentral.